GUUUAGUUGUUUGCACAAAUGAUAAAAGCACUGACUCGAGAAGAAAAGAAGAGAGAUACAAUCCAUCUGUCCGAGAGAAACAAAUCUCAAGGGCUCGUGGAAACAUUACAGUCGAUAAGAUACAGAGGAAAAUAUCACAAAGACAAACAGCAAUACGAAUCAAAGCAGGAAAAAACAUUAAAUAUACAAAUAGAAGUUGAGAGUCAUGUCAUGGUUGUGUGUGUGUGUGUCAGUUCUGCAUGAAAAACAAGGAAAUUCAUUAAAAAAUGUCUCCUGUGUGGUGAAUUGAAGUAUUUUGAUGCAUUGUCUGUUUUCUUCUCUCAGGUUAUUGCAAUCCAAGAUGUCUGAAGAAGAAGAAGUCGUUGAGGAGAUGCAGGAGGAAGAGGUAGAAACCCAGCAAGAGGAAGAGGAGGCUGCACCUGAAGUAGAAGAACCUCCUCCAGCAGAAGAGCCAGCAGAAGAAGAACCUCCAGCAGAAGAGCCAGCACAUGAAGAGAUUCCACACGUAGAUGAAGAUGACUCUAAACCCAAACCAAAGACAUUUGCUCCACCUAUGUCUGUGCCAAAGAUACCUGAGGGAGAAAAAGUCGACUUUGAUGACAUCCACAGGAAGCGUCAGGAAAAGGAUCUGGCUGAGCUGCAGUCCCUGAUCGAGGCCCACUUCAUUCAGAGGAAGAAGGACGAGGAGGAGCUCAUCGCUCUCGUUAACAGGAUCGAAAAGCGUCGUGCUGAGAGGGCUGAACAGCAGAGGAUCCGUACUGAGCAGGAAAAGGAGAGGCAGGCUCGUCUCGCUGAAGAAAAGGAGAGGAAGGAGCAAGAGGAAGCACGUAGGAAGCAGGAUGAGGAUGCCAAGAAGAAGAAGGCCCUAACAAACAGGACUCAGCAGUAUGGUGGCGUCCAACAGAGGCAAGAUGGCAAAAAGGGAGCAAAGAAGCAGACAGAGAGAGAGAAGAAGAGGAAGAUCCUGGCGGACAGGAGGAAGCCUCUCCAAGUUGACCAUCUCAGUGAGGACAAACUGAAGGAGAAGGCCAAUGAGCUGUGGCAGUGGCUGCUGACACUGGAGGCUGAGAAGUUUGACCUUGGCGAGAGACUGAAAAGACAGAAAUAUGAUAUCAAUGUACUCCAGACCCGAAUCAAUGAGCAGCAGAAGUUGUGAGUAACUGUUAAUGAGGAGUGUGGGCCGCUUGGUUGUUGUGUAGUUUUGCUGCCUGUGUGUUGAAGGGUCACAAACUGAGACUGCGGCAGUACGAACAAAGCCGGGCGACUGCUGAGUGAUUCAAACAGCAGGUGAAACUGGUGGUAUGUGUUGAUGAAGAAGCCAGCAGGAGCUGGCAUGUGGUUGUGUUUAAUCCAGGAAUUCAAGAGAAGUCCCAAGAGUCAGGUAUUACUGUAUGUUCCUAGAUUUAGUCAGUAUGGUGUCCCACUUAAAAGAAACGAGAAAUUUUUGACAUUAAAGGAACAGUUCCACAGGUAGGGAUAUAUAUAUAUAUACGCUUAUUCACUUUUUGGUGAGAGUCAGAUGAAAAGAUCAAUACCACUCUUUUAUGAUUAAGUGGGGUCAAUCUUCUUGUCUAACUUUCUAACUAAGAAAAUAACAAGGGAUCCUUUUAUGUGUCUGCAAGUGUUGGUUAUUUACACUAAGUCCACAAAAGUCUUCAUGAAAAAGCUCACAAUAAUCUGCAAAUUGUCUCCAGUACAUAACUUAAGUUGUGUGUUGUCACUUUCUCUCCAAUGUUUGACAGCCAUAUAUUGAUCUGAAGUCACAUUUUGCUGUCAGGGCAGUAUCUUAUCCUUCAUUUCUGGGUUUAAGCGACAGUUUUGACAGCUUAUGAUGCAAGUGCAACUUAACUUGCAUGAUAAACAUUUCUGAGAUUCUGCAGCUUCCCCUUUAGGAUUCAGUUAUGUGGUCAGGUGAGUCAAGAGGAUGAGAGGUGAGUCCCCAUCUGCAGGUGAAAUUCCUCAUCACAGAUGAAAGCAUCCUUGGGCCAUCCUUCCCUGCUGAGCUCCUCUUUAGGGCCACAAGCUCUGUUCUUUGGCUCUGCUGGUGUCCAUGUCUGUCUGUUGUUGUUCCUGUGCUUAGCCAGUCCUCCAUGUUUGUCACCCCUCACAGAUCAAUCAGCUCCUGGCUCGCGUUCAGGACCACCAGGGUGCCAAAGGAAGAGGCAAGGCCAAGGGCAGGGUGAGAUAGACAGGCGUAUCAGCGAGAG
Thunnus maccoyii (southern bluefin tuna) is the source of this 2207-nucleotide RNA transcript. It is a transcript of the gene named troponin T2e, cardiac, with no coding region annotated. NCBI's taxonomy places the organism in Eukaryota, Metazoa, Chordata, Actinopteri, Scombriformes, Scombridae. The record is from RefSeq and is a predicted model, not a curated record. The transcript has 18 exons.